Molecule: ribosomal RNA, 253 nt
Filed under: uncultured bacterium
Lineage: Bacteria
Description: partial 16S ribosomal RNA
Rfam family: Bacterial small subunit ribosomal RNA
Source: RNAcentral
UACGUAGGGGGCGAGCGUUGUCCGGAAUUACUGGGCGUAAAGAGAGCGUAGGCGGCACUACAAGUCUCAUGUGAAAUACCCGGGCUUAACUUGGGGGUUGCAUGGGAAACUGUAGAGCUUGAGUACAGGAGAGGCAAGCGGAACUCCUAGUGUAGCGGUGAAAUGCAUAGAUAUUAGGAGGAACACCAGUGGCGAAGGCGGCUUGCUGGACUGAAACUGACGCUGAGGCUCGAAAGCGUGGGGAGCAAACAGG